AUACGGAGGGUGCGAGCGUUAAUCGGAAUUACUGGGCGUAAAGCGUGCGUAGGCGGUUUGGCAAGUCAGGUGUGAAAGCCCUCGGCUCAACCGAGGAACUGCACUUGAUACUGCCAGACUGGAGUUCGGGAGAGGGUAGCGGAAUUCCGGGUGUAGGGGUGAAAUCCGUAGAUAUCCGGAGGAACACCGGUGGCGAAGGCGGCUACCUGGACCGAUACUGACGCUGAGGUACGAAAGCGUGGGGAGCAAACAUGAUUAGAAACCCCAGUAGUCC
Molecule: ribosomal RNA, 274 nt
Filed under: uncultured bacterium
Lineage: Bacteria
Description: partial 16S ribosomal RNA
Rfam family: Bacterial small subunit ribosomal RNA
Source: RNAcentral